AUGGUUGCCACAAAGACGGGUGAUCUGAGGGCGCUCUUCUUGUCACUGGACCGGGACGCGGACGGCAGGAUCUCGGCCGCGGAGCUGCGGGGGUGCAUGCGGGCGACCGGCGACGCUGGGCGAGGACGUGCCGGUCGAGGAGGCCGAGGCAUUGGUGGCGUCGGCAGACGCGGACGGCGAUGGGCUGCUGUGCGAGGCCGAGUUCCUCGAGCUGGCCUAGCAGGCGGCCUGGGCGGGCGACGCGGGGGAGGAGGACGACGAUCAGAGGAUCCGGGCGCUGAGGGAGGCGUUCGGGAUGUAUGA
This 303-nucleotide ribosomal RNA is filed under the name Triticum aestivum (bread wheat). RNAcentral's name for it is "partial small subunit ribosomal RNA". Lineage: Eukaryota; Viridiplantae; Streptophyta; Magnoliopsida; Poales; Poaceae. The record is from RNAcentral.